GGCGCCUAAGGAUGGGUCUGCGGCCUAUCAGGUAGUAGUGGGUGUAGCGUACCUACUAGCCUACGACGGGUACGGGUUGUGAGAGCAAGAGCCCGGAGAUGGAUUCUGAGACACUAAUCCAGGCCCUACGGGGUGCAGCAGGCGCGAAAACUUUACAAUGCUGGGAACAGCGAUAAGGGAACCUCGAGUGCCAGGUUACAAAUCUGGCUGUCGUGAUGCCUAAAAAGCAUUAUAUAGCAAGGGCCGGGCAAGACCGGUGCCAGCCGCCGCGGUAACACCGGCGGCUCGAGUGGUAACCGUUAUUAUUGGGUCUAAAGGGUCUGUAGCCGGCCGGAUAAGUCUCUUGGGAAAUCUGGCAGCUUAACUGUCAGGCUUUCAGGGGAUACUGUCUGGCUCGAGGCCGGGAGAGGUGAGAGGUACUUCAGGGGUAGGGGUGAAAUCUUGUAAUCCUUGAAGGACCACCAGUGGCGAAGGCGUCUCACCAGAACGGACCUGACGGCAAGGGACGAAAACUAGGGGCACGAACCGGAUUAGAUACCCGGGUAGUCCUAGCCGUAAACGAUACUCGCUAGGUGUCGGCCACGGUGCGACCGUUGUCGGUGCCGUAGGGAAGCCGUGAAGCGAGCC
RNAcentral lists this ribosomal RNA (627 nucleotides) under uncultured archaeon. RNAcentral describes it as "bacterial SSU rRNA". It matches the Rfam family "Archaeal small subunit ribosomal RNA", at positions 198 to 825 of the family's 1478-position model. The record is from RNAcentral.